CAAUAGCGUAUAUUAAAGUUGUUGCGGUAAAAAAGCUCGUAGUUGAAUUUCUGUUGAGAGCGACCGGUCCAUACCAUGUAUGCGUAUCUGGCUUGCUCUCGGCAUCUUCUCGAUAGACGUUACUGCGCUUGAUUGCGUGGUGCGGAUCUCGGGACUUUUACUUUGAGGAAAUUAGAGUGUUCACGGCAGGCUUUCGCCAGAAUACAUUAGCAUGGAAUAAUACUAUAGGAUCUUGGUUCUAUUUUGUUGGUUUCUAGAAUUGAGAUAAUGAUUAAUAGGGACAAUUGGGGGCAUUCGUAUCAACACGUCAGAGGUGGAAUUCUUGGAUUGUGUUGCGACGAACUACUGCGAAAGCAUUUGCCAAGGAUGUUUUCAUUGA
RNAcentral lists this ribosomal RNA (379 nucleotides) under uncultured eukaryote. Its description in RNAcentral is "partial 18S ribosomal RNA". It matches the Rfam family "Eukaryotic small subunit ribosomal RNA", at positions 592 to 976 of the family's 1831-position model. The record is from RNAcentral.